UGAGGGGUGGAGGUGACCGGUACUAAUAGGCCGAGGGCUUGUCCAUAGCUGCUUGCGUCCACUGUGCGGGUUCUGAAACAACAACCCGCCCACACGAUCUGUACCGGUCUGGUACGGGGUGUGGGGGAUAGUUUCAUAGUGUUUCGGUGGUCAUAGCGUUGGGGAAACGCCCGGUCUCAUUCCGAACCCGGAAGCUAAGCCCGACCGCGCCGAUGGUACUGCAUGGGGGACCGUGUGGGAGAGUAGGUCACCGCCGAAC
This 259-nucleotide ribosomal RNA is filed under the name Streptomyces sp. CNZ287. The record is from RNAcentral. Lineage: Bacteria; Bacillati; Actinomycetota; Actinomycetes; Kitasatosporales; Streptomycetaceae.